This 501-nucleotide ribosomal RNA is filed under the name uncultured bacterium. Its description in RNAcentral is "partial 16S ribosomal RNA". It matches the Rfam family "Bacterial small subunit ribosomal RNA", at positions 30 to 523 of the family's 1533-position model. The record is from RNAcentral.
AUUGAACGCUGGCGGCAUGCCUUACACAUGCAAGUCGAACGGCAGCACGGGUGCUUGCACCUGGUGGCGAGUGGCGAACGGGUGAGUAAUACAUCGGAACGUACCUUAUCGUGGGGGAUAACGCAGCGAAAGUUGCGCUAAUACCGCAUACGCCCUGAGGGGGAAAGCGGGGGACCGUAAGGCCUCGCGCGAUUAGAGCGGCCGAUGUCUGAUUAGCUUGUUGGUGAGGUAAAAGCUUACCAAGGCGAUGAUCAGUAGCUGGUCUGAGAGGACGAUCAGCCACACUGGGACUGAGACACGGCCCAGACUCCUACGGGAGGCAGCAGUGGGGAAUUUUGGACAAUGGGGGCAACCCUGAUCCAGCAAUGCCGCGUGAGUGAAGAAGGCCUUCGGGUUGUAAAGCUCUUUUGUCAGGGAAGAAACAGUAGCUCUAACACAGUCUGCGAAUGACGGUACCUGAAGAAUAAGCACCGGCUAACUACGUGCCAGCCGCCGCAGUAA